CAUGCGAUUGGAUUGCACGUCUAAGCAGUAAGGGUGAGUAUUAGGCAAAUCCGGUACUCAUUAAGGCUGAGCUGUGAUGGGGAGAAGACAUUGUGUCUUCGAGUCGUUGAUUUCACACUGCCGAGAAAAGCCUCUAGAUAGAAAAUAGGUGCCCGUACCGCAAACCGACACAGGUAGUCAAGAUGAGAAUUCUAAGGUGAGCGAGCGAACUCUCGUUAAGGAACUCGGCAAAAUGACCCCGUAACUUCGGGAGAAGGGGUGCUCUUUAGGGUUAACGCCCAGAAGAGCCGCAGGCGACUGUUUACCAAAAACACAGGUCUCCGCGAAGCCGCAAGACGAAGUAUAGGGGCUGACGCCUGCCCAGUGCCGGAAGGUUAAGGAAGUUGGUCAGGGAGUUUACUCCUGAAGCUAGCGACCGAAGCCCCAGUAAACGGCGGCCGUAACUAUAACGGUCAUAAGGGAGCGAAAUUCCUUGUCGGGUAAGUUCCGACCCGCACGAAAGGCGUAACGAUUUGGGCACUGUCUCAACGAGAGACUCGGUGAAAUCAUAGUACCUGUGAAGAUGCAGGUUACCCGCGACAGGACGGAAAGACCCCGUGGAGCUUUACUGUAGCCUGAUAUUGAAAUUCGGCACAGCUUG
This 640-nucleotide ribosomal RNA is filed under the name Klebsiella pneumoniae. RNAcentral describes it as "bacterial LSU rRNA". It matches the Rfam family "Bacterial large subunit ribosomal RNA", at positions 1491 to 2136 of the family's 2925-position model. The record is from RNAcentral. Lineage: Bacteria; Pseudomonadati; Pseudomonadota; Gammaproteobacteria; Enterobacterales; Enterobacteriaceae.